CGUGUCCGACGUUGUAACCUGGAGAAUUAUGUCCGGAGUGACCAGCGAAUCGAAAGAUUUCUGGUUUGACGCAUAAGGCUCCACAAAGCAACUGUCAGGUAAGCCUGCAAGGCCCCGUGAUUCCUCCGUCCCCGCACGAUGAGCGUCCACAGGACUCACGUCCUUGGAGUAUAUGUUGAAACCAGACCCCACGCAGCGCUUCUUUACGAACACUUUCCACUCGCGCAGCCGCUUCACUGACGUUGGCCUCAGAACGAAGCGUUCAACGCCGUCGUCUUCCUCUUCCAAGGACCGAAGGUCAAACUGGGAACCUCCACUAGCAAGUACCUUGUGGACGUGCUUCUCGUACAUUUUGCCCGCCAAAGAGUUUGCAACCGCAUGUCCCUGGCAAAAGUCAAAGAAGUCACGCGAAGCCUGAAACCCCUGCUCCUCGAACUUUUCAAAAGCCAACUUCUGGAUGUAGUCCGAGCCAAACACCAAGUGAGCGUGCAGCACCCGGUAACACGCAGGUGUGUUCAAGUCGAAUCUGUCAGUCGUAAGACGGUAGUGGAGCAGAAUAUCAGAAACAUUAGAGACCUUGUCCGAGUUCAUUGCGCAGUCAAGCACUUUCCGCCAGCAUUCCACCCUUGACGCUGCUUGGUGCACCUCCGCUUUGAGCCCGGCCAACGAGAACUUCUCCGUGUUGAAGAGAAGCCUUGGUAGCCCACCACAGUGGUAAAAGCGGAGACCAAUUUCCUCGUCUGUCAUUCCCAGCUCAAGCUCCUCGUUGCACUGCUGCACCUCCUCGAGCGACCAGGCUUCCAGGCGGCAUAUAUAGCCAUGGUCCUUGGAGAACUCGUAGUAGCCAGUGCGAUCCGGUGAGACGCAUUGGAUGAGAGGCCCCAGGUGACUUAUUCCCCUCGAGCCCCCGUCGACGAUGAGCCAGACACUCGUCAUGUCCCACCCCCGCGGUCGUGUAUACCAUUUCGAUUGCAGCACUAGAGGGUCAUCCAGCGAGAAGUCGAAGAAAAAGAAGUCUGGAUUGUCAUCUUUCGUCCUCCAAACUACUUUCUGUCCUUCCUGAGCUCUACUGUGAAAGAAGUAGUGGCCAUAGAACGUCUUGCCGAUACCUGGCGUUGAGACAAUGUGGAAGUUCUUCAACCCUUUCCUCUCAUUCACGACCCUGCUCCACUUCUCCGCAAUGAACUGAUCCAUGAAAAGGUAGUUUGGAUGGACCCAGAGCUUGGACAGGUUGUAAUGGCCCAAGAACCCAGACGGGAUGUGGAGGCAGCGGUCCUGGAGCCUGGCAUGCUUUACCUCCCGGCCGUAGGCAGCGAGAAGAGGAUCUGACACACAGAACUUGUUAGAGAUGAUUCGUCGCGCCUAAACCAUACCGAGCUCUUCGCCCAUCUCGCUGUCGCCCAAAACCUAGAAAGCAGAGCGGAAAAUUGAUAUAAAGAAUAGAAUGCCCUCCUAGGGCAAGGGAUAAAAGGUAUAUUCUUUCUUUAAGAAUAUUCUUUGUUUUGUGCUCUUUUAAUGGGGUGUUUAUCUUAAUCUAUUUUUGUAAAACUAAUAUUUUUUAAUCACGAGCUUAUUUAUAUACUGUGGCUGGUCUGAUGUCGCUUGCUCUGCCUCCCCGGAUGCAUCGCCAUGGAUCUGGCAAGAUCCCAGCAGUAGCAUCACUCGUGAUCGCGGGCUCAAUCGGCAUAUCGCGCACCAGCUCCUCGCGCGGCUGAAUAGAUCUCCGUAGUAGAGCAGCGCUGGAUCGCUGCCGUGAUAGUUCGCCAUGCCCACGAAGUAUCCUCCAAGAGCCCGGCGUGGCGGCACGCCGAGAGGAUGUUCACGAGAUGCACCGCCUGGAAGAGGUCUCUUGCGCGGAUCCAAUCCCCGUGCUGCGUAAAGGAGAUGACGAUCGAGUUCCAGGCGAUAGUGUCGCGAUGGGGGAGAUCCAAGAACACGGCAUGGUGCGAGUAGCGAAUUCGUUACCUGGAUACGAUCGUGGACGCCGCUGGCGAUCGCCCUGGCGUGGAGGAUCCGGCCAUCGGCGAGGCGCGAGCUGGAUUCCAUCGUGCCCGGUCUGGGCAGUGCUGUGAGGAUGCUGCCCCUGGAGAUCACGUUCCGGUGGAUCAUCCUGUGGAAGAUCUCCAGCGCUCGCUCGAUCCGGCCGCUCUUGGCGUGCAGGCCGCAAGACGCGCCUCGAGGUUGCGUGGGCAAUGCGAGGGAUCGCUGGCGAGCGCGUCCAUGAUCGUCAUCAUCGAGGCGGCACUGCUGAAACUCUUCCUUUUUGUUCUUAAGCAUGGAUGCAAGGCUCUUUUCUCGAUCCCAGAGAAUUGCAAGCAGCUAUUGCCGCCGGGAAAGCUCCGACUUUGAUUGCUUUCUAUGCGGAUCAUCACGUCGUCCCCGGACUCUCCGAGCAAUAAAAAGGCCAUGGUGCUCCUUCAGGAGCUCUGUCUUGUUACCUUUCACUUGAGCGAGUUUUUGGUUUUGAUUUUCGCUUAUGUGCAAAGAGGUGACUUAAACGAUCAUGAACAGCGAGAAUUAGGCUUUCCAUGCCAAUGGAGCUGGAAAAGUGGUGAGCAAAUUUCGGAGUAGCAAAUCUUCUUCUAAAAUCAUCCUUGAGAACUUGUUGCUCGCUCUCGCUGCUCGUCCUUGUAUCCUACUUUUUUAGUUAUAGGAAGAGAAAAUCGUGUUUUUCAGGGUAACGCCAUGCUGUAAUCCUCGGAUUGCGGAAAGCAGCUGCGAACAUUGCUGGCGGAACUCAUCACGCAUUUCCUGAGCACGGCGAGGAAUUUCGUAAGUUGUUUCUCUUCAUUUUUGUUCUCUUUUCUUGCCGUGUGAUGGAGAAAACAUAUGUAAUAAUGAUGGAUUCUCCAGAGGUCUCAAGGCUAGGGUUUUCUCCAGCGGUCUUUGUGUAGAGUGGCUAAGUUUGCUUGUGGAAGCGUGACUCUCGACUCAUACAUAUCCAACUUCUUCUCAGGCAAUUCAUCCCUGAAAAGGAUUUCUAUCACGAAGUUGCGGUAUCACAUCUAUCAUAAGCUUCAUGGGACACAAAAUCUCCUUACUUUUCUUUUCUUCAACCUAUCUUGGAACUUCAAGAACGUUCGGCUUGUCCUCGGUUUUGACACUACAGGGAUACACAACAGGCAUGGAGCAGCUUUCCGAGCAUUAGAGCGGGCUCUGCAAGUUUAGAACACACAUCCACAGUGAUUUGACGAACGGGUAGCUAUCAAGCCUGACGCCUUCGAGCAGCAUGGUGCAAAAGAAACGAAGAGCUUCCAGGCACUGUUGGUUCAACGAGUGCAUCGCGUUCCAGUGCUCCAUCUCGUCAAAGACGGCGCUCACGCUCCCGCGUCUCCCAUACAUGUUGACACGUCUGCAGCGGAGCUCCCGAGCUUGGUCGAGAGUGUCCGGCUGGUCGCAAGCUUCAACAAUUUGCUGCAGCGCAAUCCAGACGGACUCCGAGAGCAUCUAGAGACUAAACCACGCCCAAGGUUUAGCAAAGCAGAUAAUAAAUAUCAAACCACACCGCAAAUUAUUUCUUUGAUGCUGAAAAUCAGGACGAAGUCCAUGGAACCGUCAUCACAUACUGAUGAACCCUGUCCAUCCCGGCAACAUCUCUCUGAUGCAUCGAUCCAUCGUCUUUCUUGAAGCCCUGAUACGUGUAUCCCUGAAAGCUAGGCUCGGGAACGACAUAGAUGAGCCUGUACUGCUUGGGACGCACCAGCUUGAGCUUGUCAUGCAACGCAUCCAACCCCUGAACAAGCUCGUGGAUCUGGGACCAAUAGACCGGAUGCGUGGCUGACGUUGUAACCUGGAGAAUUAUGUCCGGAGUGACCAGCGAAUCGAAAGAUUUCUGGUUUGACGCAUAAGGCUCCACGAAGCAACUGUCAGGUAAGCCUGCAAGGCCCCGUGAUUCCUCCGUCCCCGCACGAUAAGCGUCCACAGGACUCACGUCCUUGGCGUAUACGUUGAAACCAGACCCCACGCAGCGCUUCUUUACGAACACUUUCCACUCGCGCAGCCGCUUCACUGACGUUGGCCUCAGAACGAAGCGUUCAACGCCGUCGUCUUCCUCUUCCAAGGACCGAAGAUCAAACUGGGAACCUCCACUAGCAAGUACCUUGUGGACGUGCUUCUCGUACAUUUUGCCCGCCAAGGUGUUUGUAACCGGAUAUCCUCGGCAUAAGUCGAAAAAGUCACGGAAAGCCUGAAACCCCUGCUCCUCAAACCUUUCAAAAGCAAGCUUCUGAAUGCAGUCCGAGCCAAACACCAAGUGAGCGUGCAGCACCCGGUAACACGCAGGUGUGUUCGAGUCGAACCUGUCAGUAAGACGGUAGUGGAGCAGAAUAUCAGAAACAGUGGGGUCCUUGUCCCGAGUGAGUGUGCAGUGGAGCACUUUUCU
Molecule: long non-coding RNA, 4381 nt
Filed under: Selaginella moellendorffii
Lineage: Eukaryota; Viridiplantae; Streptophyta; Lycopodiopsida; Selaginellales; Selaginellaceae
Description: long non-coding RNA (SMOE_LNC000714)
Source: RNAcentral